AGGGUUCGAUUCUGGCUCAGGAUGAACGCUAGCGGCAGGCUUAACACAUGCAAGUCGAGGGGCAGCGGGAUGUAGCAAUACAUUGCCGGCGACCGGCGGAUGGGUGCGUAACGCGUAUGCAACCUACCUUAUACAGGGGAAUAACCUUUCGAAAGGGAGACUAACACCCCAUGGUAUUGAUUUAAGGCAUCUUAGAUUAAUUAAAUAUUUAUAGGUAUAAGAUGGGCAUGCGUAUGAUUAGCUAGUUGGUAAGGUAACGGCUUACCAAGGCGACGAUCAUUAGGGGUUCUGAGAGGAAGGUCCCCCACACUGGUACUGAGACACGGACCAGACUCCUACGGGAGGCAGCAGUGAGGAAUAUUGGUCAAUGGGCGCAAGCCUGAACCAGCCAUGCCGCGUGCAAGGAAGACGGCCUUAUGGGUUGUAAACUGCUUUACAUAAGACUAACCGUAUAUUUGCGAAUAUACCUGAAUGUAUUAUGAGAAUAAGGAUCGGCUAACUCCGUGCCAGCAGCAGC
RNAcentral lists this ribosomal RNA (517 nucleotides) under uncultured bacterium. RNAcentral describes it as "bacterial SSU rRNA". It matches the Rfam family "Bacterial small subunit ribosomal RNA", at positions 8 to 518 of the family's 1533-position model. The record is from RNAcentral.